GACGAACGCUGGCGGCGUGCUUAACACAUGCAAGUCGAACGGAAAGGCCCUGCUUUUGUGGGGUGCUCGAGUGGCGAACGGGUGAGUAACACGUGAGUAACCUGCCCUUGACUUUGGGAUAACUUCAGGAAACUGGGGCUAAUACCGGAUAGGAGCUCCUGCUGCAUGGUGGGGGUUGGAAAGUUUCGGCGGUUGGGGAUGGACUCGCGGCUUAUCAGCUUGUUGGUGGGGUAGUGGCUUACCAAGGCGUUGACGGGUAGCCGGCCUGAGAGGGUGACCGGGCACAAUGGGACUGAGAGACGGCCAAGGAGCCGACGGGAGGAAGCAGUGGGGAAGUGUGACCAGCGGGCGCGAGCCGUAUGAGGCGACCCCGUGUGGGGGAUGACGGACUUCGGGUUGGAAAAAGCAUUAGGCAGGGACGAAGCGGUAGUGACGGUAAUUGAUAAAGAAGCACCGGCUAACUACGUG
RNAcentral lists this ribosomal RNA (468 nucleotides) under uncultured bacterium. RNAcentral describes it as "partial 16S ribosomal RNA". It matches the Rfam family "Bacterial small subunit ribosomal RNA", at positions 28 to 507 of the family's 1533-position model. The record is from RNAcentral.